RNAcentral lists this ribosomal RNA (992 nucleotides) under Faucicola osloensis. Its description in RNAcentral is "bacterial SSU rRNA". It matches the Rfam family "Bacterial small subunit ribosomal RNA", at positions 62 to 1052 of the family's 1533-position model. The record is from RNAcentral. Lineage: Bacteria; Pseudomonadati; Pseudomonadota; Gammaproteobacteria; Moraxellales; Moraxellaceae.
UCGAACGAUGAUUAUCUAGCUUGCUAGAUAUGAUUAGUGGCGGACGGGUGAGUAACAUUUAGGAAUCUGCCUAGUAGUGGGGGAUAGCUCGGGGAAACUCGAAUUAAUACCGCAUACGACCUACGGGUGAAAGGGGGCGCAAGCUCUUGCUAUUAGAUGAGCCUAAAUCAGAUUAGCUAGUUGGUGGGGUAAAGGCCCACCAAGGCGACGAUCUGUAACUGGUCUGAGAGGAUGAUCAGUCACACCGGAACUGAGACACGGUCCGGACUCCUACGGGAGGCAGCAGUGGGGAAUAUUGGACAAUGGGGGCAACCCUGAUCCAGCCAUGCCGCGUGUGUGAAGAAGGCCUUUUGGUUGUAAAGCACUUUAAGCAGGGAGGAGAGGCUAAUGGUUAAUACCCAUUAGAUUAGACGUUACCUGCAGAAUAAGCACCGGCUAACUCUGUGCCAGCAGCCGCGGUAAUACAGAGGGUGCGAGCGUUAAUCGGAAUUACUGGGCGUAAAGCGAGUGUAGGUGGCUCAUUAAGUCACAUGUGAAAUCCCCGGGCUUAACCUGGGAACUGCAUGUGAUACUGGUGGUGCUAGAAUAUGUGAGAGGGAAGUAGAAUUCCAGGUGUAGCGGUGAAAUGCGUAGAGAUCUGGAGGAAUACCGAUGGCGAAGGCAGCUUCCUGGCAUAAUAUUGACACUGAGAUUCGAAAGCGUGGGUAGCAAACAGGAUUAGAUACCCUGGUAGUCCACGCCGUAAACGAUGUCUACUAGCCGUUGGGGUCCUUGAGACUUUAGUGGCGCAGUUAACGCGAUAAGUAGACCGCCUGGGGAGUACGGCCGCAAGGUUAAAACUCAAAUGAAUUGACGGGGGCCCGCACAAGCGGUGGAGCAUGUGGUUUAAUUCGAUGCAACGCGAAGAACCUUACCUGGUCUUGACAUAGUGAGAAUCCUGCAGAGAUGCGGGAGUGCCUUCGGGAAUUCACAUACAGGUGCUGCAUGGCUGU